ACCAACGCGAAGCGGCGCCUACCCGCUCGCUCGCUUCCGUCCCCGACUCCCCCUCCGUCCCCAUCCUAUUCGCUCCGCCGCACCACCCACCCCAUCGCCCGCCUCCCGGAAUCCUCUCGCCUCCCGCCGCCGCCGCCACAGCCACCACCACCCCGGCCGGAGGCCACGCGCCCCACUCGGCCGCUCGAACCCGAGGUCAGAUCCAAACCACAGCCCCAGGUCCGAAUCGCGCCGCAUUUUUUCUAGGUUUUGGUACGGAUCUAGGGUUGGCCGUGGAAUUCCGGGCGUGGGGCAAUUCGUUCGAUUCGCUCGGAUUCCUCCGCGGCUCGGAUUUCGUGGUUAUGGCCGCCGGGCGCCACGGAGGGUACAGGGACUACGAGGCCAGGGAGCGGGAGCCCGACGCCGAGGCCGCCAGGAGGAGCCAGAGCCUCGGCGACCGCCACCGGAGCGACGCCGACCGCCGCCGCGACGGCGGGCGCAGCAGCGGUGGCAGGGAAUUCUCCAACGGCUAUGGCCACCGCCGCUCGCACCCGCCCAAAAGCCGCCUCUCCACCAGGCUUGGGGACCGGGAGCCCGGCGAGGUGCUCAGCGGGAGUGCGUCAGAUGACUCUGGUGGGAGGUCAGGCAGAGCGGCGGGGGAAAACACCUUGGCCAGUUCUAGCAGGGAGGGCGAGGUGGCGGUGGGGGCGCCUGCUGCCCCUUCGCCCAGUAAAAAGAGGAAAUUUUCGCCCAUAAUUUGGGACAGGGAUAGCCCAAAGCCGCCGCCGUUGCAUUCUGGUGCAGUGACUGUGAAGGGAGUGGUGGAAUCCGCAUCUGCUGAUACAGCAAGUGACCAGAAAGUGGUGGAGUCCUCUUCUGCUCAACUCCCUCCCCCUCCUCCGCUGCCGCCACAGGGGCACAUCCCAGAGAGAUUGGUCGUGGAGAAUUCACCAAUGGAUGUGGACCUUGCUGUUGAUACUGGGAACAAUGAGCAGUUGCACGAGCUGGAGGAUAGUAAAGUGCUUGAGGUAGAGGAGAGUAAAGUAAAGGAUGAAGAGGAGAGUAAAGUAAAGGAGGAAGAGGAGUACCCAACAAUGAGGAACAUAUCAACUUCAAGGUGGGCAGGUGCUAACGAUGACGAGGAGGAGGGUGUAACACUGAGGAAGAAGAAAGGCUUAUCUCCUGCAGAUUCCGCUGAGCUGGGGCAGGGUAAGAAGACUCCUACUCCAGAACUUGGGGAGGUUGUGACCAGUGAUAUUUCUGGACGGAGGACCAUGUCAAGGUCAUCUGAUUCAGGGAGAAUGGGUAACGACGAGAAGGAAGAUUUGGAAUUAGGUAAAGGUGACUACAUGGAUGUUGAUAGAGGGGAGGCUAGUGUUAAUGGUUCAGCUAAUCUUCUAUCUUCUGAUUCGGAGGAUGAAGUGCGCAGGUCUGAAACCCCUGAGCCAGUGAAGCCGGCUCAUCGAUGUAUCAAUAUGCUGCAAGGUUGCAGAAGUGUUGAUGUGUUUGAGAGGCUCAACAAGAUUAAUGAAGGCACCUAUGGUGUUGUAUAUCGAGCAAAGGAUAAGAAGACUGCUGAGAUUGUUGCAUUGAAGAAGGUCAAGAUGGAAAAGGAGAGAGAAGGUUUCCCGUUGACCUCUCUUAGGGAAAUCAACAUCCUUUUAUCUUUCCAUCACCCUUCAAUUGUUGACGUUAAGGAAGUAGUAGUUGGCAGUAGUCUUGAUAGUAUUUUUAUGGUGAUGGAGUACAUGGAGCAUGAUCUUAAGGGUGUCAUGGAGACAAUGAAGCAGCCAUAUACCCAAAGUGAGGUCAAAUGCUUAAUGCUUCAGCUAUUAGAGGGUGUAAAAUAUCUUCAUGACAAUUGGGUACUUCAUAGGGAUUUGAAGACUUCAAAUCUAUUGCUGAAUAACCGUGGUGAGUUGAAAAUAUGUGAUUUUGGACUGUCUCGUCAAUAUGGGAGCCCACUAAAACCUUAUACUCAAUUGGUUGUGACUUUGUGGUACAGGUCACCUGAACUAUUGCUAGGAACAAAGGAAUACUCUACUGCUAUUGACAUGUGGUCCGUGGGCUGCAUUAUGGCAGAGCUUCUCGCCAAAGAACCACUGUUCAAUGGAAAAACAGAGUUUGAACAGCUAGACAAGAUAUUUAGAACACUUGGCACACCUAAUGAGAAGAUAUGGCCUGGUUAUGCCAAGUUACCUGGUGUCAAAGUCAACUUUGUUAAACAACCGUACAACAGAUUAAGGGAUAAGUUCCCAGCUGCGUCUUUUUCUGGGCGUCCAACCCUAUCUGAAGCUGGUUUUGAUCUGUUGAAUAAGCUCUUAACUUAUGAUCCUGCGAAGCGUAUAUCAGCUGAGGCUGCAUUGGAGCAUCCAUGGUUCAGUGAAGUACCUCUACCUAAGUCGAAGGACUUCAUGCCAACAUUUCCAGCUCUAAACGAACUGGACAGGCGUACCAGACGGUAUAUGAAGAGUCCUGAUCCUCUAGAGGAGCAACGGUUGAAAGAACUGCAAGCAAAAGGCAACCGUGGCCUUUUCGGCUGAGCUCAAACCGCUUGCUUGGGUUUUGUUCGUACUGACUGCUAUGCUUCAACCUGAAUCAGUGAGGUCAGAUGGCUUCUGAGGUGAGAUGUGCCAUGGACAUGAAGUAUCAGAUCUUCUUGGUGUCUUCAAGCAACUGACAACGUUCUUUAGCAGGCUUUGUGCUUAGUGACUUGUGGCCCAUCAUAGAAUUCUUUUCACAGGAUUAGCACUCCGACCAGAUUGAUCAUGAAAGCAAAUCUAACCUGCCUCCAUCGUAAGGUUUGGCCUGUUGGCUUUAUUGGCUACACACUUACACCUGUUUCACCUUUGGAACCUCUGUAUGUAAAAUAUUCCAGAUUGGUACGUUGUAAACAAUGCUCAGUGUGUUGGAUUUACAAUAAGAUUAUAAGAAUCUAUCAUUUUUCUCUCUCUGCUCCUAUAGUGCUCUUUUCUUUUGAUCUUUGCAUUUUGUUUGCAAGAAAUGAAAGUGGCGAAGGGGAAGGAUGCCUUUAGCUUUUCUUCAGGAAAUCAUGGACAGUAAUACAACUUGAAAGCUUAAGCUGUGGCUGCUUCAAGAGGAAGCUUGAUGGCCGCCAGCUUGUUGUACCUAAGUGACUAAAUUUUGUGGGAGGUCUUGAAGUGUAUUCAUCUGUUACUUGAGUGAGCCAUAGUGGUCACUGGUCAGUUUACUAUCCUUCCUUGUUUAUUAAUGCACCAUAUUCAUCUAACUGUUUUUGGGGGAUGGUCAUCUGUUAUUUGUUUGCAUGGAGUAUGGUUUUUGUUGAACUUUCAUUUCGUCCUCUCCCAUAUGGCCGACACUUUGUUUUCUAUUUGAAAUACCUCCUUGACUGAUGUAAAUGCCACAACAUUGGCAUUGUUUACUCACCUCCAUGAAAUUGAGGCUAUUUAGAUUAGUGAAGGAGGUCAAAAUUAGGCUGAAAUACUAGUGUUGCGUGCUCUCUGUUCCCCAGUUUGGUUAUGGUAGCCUGGUUGUUUUGAUGGGCCACAUUUGGAACAAACGUUUGGCAUGCUCUUUGGGGAUGCAUAACUGCUUAUGGUUCUUGAUGUUUUUGUAGUAGUGUUUUUCUUGUCAUGGGUUAACAUGAGCUGCCCUUGCCACUACAAAUGUUCAAUUGCUACUUGCCACUUCAUUCUGUAUGACGUUGGUGAUUCGGAGUUUUGCGUUGUCGAAUGUGAUGAUCAAUUUCUUGCCCAUUUGUUUGCCUCUUAUUUUAGUUUCAGUUGUCUUGCGGAAGAUAUAUCAGCCCAUCAGCACGCUUGAGUAUGUUUUUGCGAUAUAAACAUUUGCGUAGUUGCAGUGGUGUCGGCGCGCAGAAUAGAAAGAUUGCAGUGGUAUCGGUGCACAGAAUAGAAAACAGUCUAUUCCCUCUGUUCGCAAAUAUAAGAUGUUUUACAUAUUUCAAUAUGGACUACAUACGGACUGAAAUGAAUGAAGAAAGACACUAAAAUGUGUCUAUAUACUCGAAUCAGAAAAUAGUUAGAACAUCUCAGGACUGGAAUUGAAUUACUGGCGGAGGGAGUGCAUUAUAACCUAUGUUGAUAACUGAGACUCGUAGAGUGGGGUUUUUGUUGGUUGGCUACACAUGCAAACGUUUUAUUUGUUUGAGUUGACAAAGUUUUGUAGCACUGGUUUUUUUUUUGCCCGGACCUCACGAAUGCAAAUACAUCAUGACAAUGGGCAAGUUUGUUACUCCCUCCGAUCCAUAGACAAAUCUAGGACAAGUAAUAUGGAUCGGAGGGAGUAGUAGAAAACAAAGCAACAUUUGUUGCCAAUGUUUUAGGAAGUUUCUUUUUUUUUGGAUUUCACUGCUUAUCCAAUGUGCAUGUGUUCCCGGAAUCAGAGUUGCACUUGUGAGGCUCGUCACUUUAUGGAAGAGCAGGAUGCUUCUUCUAGCAUUUACACCCGACGUCAAAUGCCCCUGGUGAACAGUAAAAUCAUGAAAAAUAGAAAAAAAAAAGAUGAAAAACUUCUGUUUUUUUUGUGUUAACCUUGGACAAAAUGUUCUACUCCCUCUUCCCUGUAAUAUAAGAACGAAAAAAGGUUCUUAUAUUAUGGGACGGAGGGAGUAUGUGCUUGCAAAAAUUUAUCAGGAACGGGCAUUCCUGGAAGUCAGUGGCAAAAAGAACAAAAUCGAUAUUCCAAAACUGCUAUUUUUGAAAUUAUUUUGGAGUAUUGAUUUUUUUUGCCAUGACUUCCAUGAGUGUCAUUUCGUGAUGAAAAUUUGCAAGCAUAGAAAUAUUUUGUCAAAGGUUACCAGAAAAAUUCAGCACUUUAAAAAAUCAUUUUCUUUUGAUUUUACUGUUCAUCGGAGCUCAUUUGAGCUCGGGAGCAGAAGAACACUUUAGGCUUCUUUACUAGUCUGUGAUAUAAAUAGUUCUCCUCUUGUAUAACAAGCAGCCUGAUAUCGCUCUCCUCGCUGGACGUGAAUGCCAUAGUGUCAUUCCGUGUCUUUGUUGCACUCCCCGCUGAACCAACGGUUCGAGUCUUCUGGAUUGCCAUAGUUGAGUAAUCUUGUUGCUCACCACCCAUUGGCGUGGGCUUGUGUAGACUCCAUUAUUUGCAGGUCGAUGGGGAUAUGACCAAGCAAGGAGCACGCGCAACUCGAGAGGCAAUUCGGUCUGGAUGACUCAAGCAAUACUACUCUCCGCUGCAGCGCACAUUCGAUGUGAUUAUUAUUACAUGUAUAAAUGUAAAUAGCUCGUUAAUUAGUUAGAGAAUCAAAUACUUCCAUGAGUGCAUAUAUGUUACUGGAAGAACGUUUGGCG
Molecule: ribosomal RNA, 5288 nt
Filed under: Triticum aestivum (bread wheat)
Lineage: Eukaryota; Viridiplantae; Streptophyta; Magnoliopsida; Poales; Poaceae
Description: partial small subunit ribosomal RNA
Source: RNAcentral